GCAGCCAUCCUCAAGGGAAAUUUUUCCGAUAAUGGCUGCUCUGCUGAGGCGAAGGCGAAGGCUUGGGGCAGCAUUGUCUCUCGCCUAGCGGCACUCCACCCUGGCUUCAGCAGAUGCAUAAAGCAGUGCCAGAGACGCUGGCAAACUGUUAUGCAUGAAGCAAAAUCUAAAAUUAGUGCCUACCAAAAGGCCAGGAAUGGAACAGGUGGUGGCCUUCCGCCUACACCCCUCGGGGAGCUAGAGGUCAUCAUCGCUGAUGUGCUGGGAGAGGGGAACGUAUCAGUCAAUUCUAUUGACAGGACAGUGGUGGACCCUUUUCCACUUGACACUGAAGAUGUUCCCGAAAAUGGGAGUCUUCAGGUGGAUGUCACACCACCUGUCCCUCCCCAACCCAGCACAGACACACCUCAAACCACCACCACACCACCACCAGUAGUUCCUGCCGCUGCAGCUUCCUCCAGUACACCAGUUGGGACCUGCAC
Eriocheir sinensis (Chinese mitten crab) is the source of this 482-nucleotide long non-coding RNA. RefSeq lists it as uncharacterized. The record is from RefSeq and is a predicted model, not a curated record. The transcript is spliced from 3 exons. NCBI's taxonomy places the organism in Eukaryota, Metazoa, Arthropoda, Malacostraca, Decapoda, Varunidae.